GCCAGGCAUGGUGACUCAUGCCUGUAAUCCCAGCACUUUGGGAGGCUGAGGCAGGAGGAUUACUUGAGCCCAGGAAUUUGGCCUGGGCGACAUAGCAAGACCUUGUCUCUU
This is an unclassified non-coding RNA of Pongo abelii (Sumatran orangutan), 111 nucleotides long. It matches the Rfam family "Metazoan signal recognition particle RNA". Rfam says of the family: The signal recognition particle (SRP) is a universally conserved ribonucleoprotein. It is involved in the co-translational targeting of proteins to membranes. NCBI's taxonomy places the organism in Eukaryota, Metazoa, Chordata, Mammalia, Primates, Hominidae. The record is from Ensembl.